RNAcentral lists this ribosomal RNA (435 nucleotides) under uncultured bacterium. RNAcentral describes it as "partial 16S ribosomal RNA". It matches the Rfam family "Bacterial small subunit ribosomal RNA", at positions 29 to 507 of the family's 1533-position model. The record is from RNAcentral.
AGCGAACGCUGGCGGCAGGCUUAACACAUGCAAGUCGAGCGGGCAUCUUCGGAUGUCAGCGGCAGACGGGUGAGUAACACGUGGGAACGUACCCUUCGGUUCGGAACAACUCUGGGAAACUGGAGCUAAUACCGGAUACGCCCUUAUGGGGAAAGGUUUACUGCCGAAGGAUCGGCCCGCGUCUGAUUAGCUAGUUGGUGGGGUGACGGCCUACCAAGGCGACGAUCAGUAGCUGGUCUGAGAGGAUGAUCAGCCACACUGGGACUGAGACACGGCCCAGACUCCUACGGGAGGCAGCAGUGGGGAAUAUUGGACAAUGGGCGCAAGCCUGAUCCAGCCAUGCCGCGUGAGUGAUGAAGGCCUUAGGGUUGUAAAGCUCUUUUGUCCGGGACGAUAAUGACGGUACCGGAAGAAUAAGCCCCGGCUAACUUCGUG